AUGCUGUGGCUGAGAGGGGAGGACAGCUGGACGAGCCGUCUAGACACGAAGGUCCUCCCUACAGCUCAUGCCUGGGUCCUGGCUCCUGCUGACCUACCUCCCCAGUGUAGACGACCAUCUGCCUGGAUUUCUGAAUAUCACCAACCAGGAUUUUUGACUGCCAUACUUUGCUUGACGUUUGGGACACCUCCACUGCUCUGUGUGGGGCUGCCCACCACAGACUCUUUGCUGGUACUACCAAAGGUUGUACCACACUAUACCUUCCAGAUGCCAAGCUCUACCUUCACUGCCCCUUCAGCCGGUUGGGUCUCCCCGGAGCCUGUCUACUCCAGGAGUUCAGGUAGAAAGGAGUUGAUACAAUCAAGGACAUGCAACUCUUCAGUUCCUAACUAAUGCGUGGAGAAAAACAAAAAUUCACCGAUGAUCUAGAACCAUCAUAUUGACUGUCAGAUUUCCCUUCCUCUUUUGAUGAGAUUUCACCCAGUUGGCAAACAAGUAUAAACAAGGAUUACUUGUCCAUUUUCCCUUUGCCCCCUUUCCCUUCUCACUUAGGACAUUUCUUCUUACUGAAAUUAAUAAAGAAUAUUAAUGGAGUAUUCA
RNAcentral lists this long non-coding RNA (600 nucleotides) under Ursus maritimus (polar bear). Its description in RNAcentral is "lncRNA (ENSUMAG00000021023.1)". Lineage: Eukaryota; Metazoa; Chordata; Mammalia; Carnivora; Ursidae. The record is from RNAcentral.